Molecule: long non-coding RNA, 160 nt
Organism: Pipistrellus kuhlii (Kuhl's pipistrelle)
Lineage: Eukaryota; Metazoa; Chordata; Mammalia; Chiroptera; Vespertilionidae
Exons: 3
Source: RefSeq, a predicted model, not a curated record
UAAAACCUUGAAAAGGAGGAAAGUAAAGGCUCUACUGACUCACUGAAACAUAGGUGAGAAAAUUAAGUCCAAGACCCAUCUCUGCUCACUUACAAAUGUCUAAAUGGUCAGCGUAUGCAGUCUCCACAUUUACUCUCAGUACAGGGAACCCAACCUCUCA